This 253-nucleotide ribosomal RNA is filed under the name uncultured bacterium. RNAcentral's name for it is "partial 16S ribosomal RNA". It matches the Rfam family "Bacterial small subunit ribosomal RNA", at positions 524 to 776 of the family's 1533-position model. The record is from RNAcentral.
UACGAAGGGGGCUAGCGUUGCUCGGAAUUACUGGGCGUAAAGGGCGCGUAGGCGGCACAGUUAGUCAGGCGUGAAAUUCCUGGGCUCAACCUGGGGAUUGCGCUUGAGACGGCUGCGCUUGGGGACGGAAGAGGGUCGUGGAAUUCCCAGUGUAGAGGUGAAAUUCGUAGAUAUUGGGAAGAACACCGGUGGCGAAGGCGGCGACCUGGUCCUUGACUGACGCUGAGGCGCGAAAGCGUGGGGAGCAAACAGG